GGCCUCGUAGCUCAGCUGGUAGAGCAUGCGCGUACAAAGCGUAGGCGGUGUCCAUGCGUGGGUUUGAAUCCCACCGAGGCUA
Molecule: non-coding RNA, 82 nt
Organism: Echinostoma caproni
Lineage: Eukaryota; Metazoa; Platyhelminthes; Trematoda; Plagiorchiida; Echinostomatidae
Source: Rfam